RNAcentral lists this ribosomal RNA (630 nucleotides) under Curtobacterium sp. Ri3Ps_5221. RNAcentral's name for it is "bacterial SSU rRNA". It matches the Rfam family "Bacterial small subunit ribosomal RNA", at positions 387 to 1027 of the family's 1533-position model. The record is from RNAcentral. Lineage: Bacteria; Bacillati; Actinomycetota; Actinomycetes; Micrococcales; Microbacteriaceae. RNAcentral also lists the same sequence under 2 other names.
UGCAGCAACGCCGCGUGAGGGAUGACGGCCUAUCGGGUUGUAAACCUCUUUUAGUAGGGAAGAAGCGAAAGUGACGGUACCUGCAGAAAAAGCACCGGCUAACUACGUGCCAGCAGCCGCGGUAAUACGUAGGGUGCAAGCGUUGUCCGGAAUUAUUGGGCGUAAAGAGCUCGUAGGCGGUUUGUCGCGUCUGCUGUGAAAUCCCGAGGCUCAACCUCGGGCUUGCAGUGGGUACGGGCAGACUAGAGUGCGGUAGGGGAGAUUGGAAUUCCUGGUGUAGCGGUGGAAUGCGCAGAUAUCAGGAGGAACACCGAUGGCGAAGGCAGAUCUCUGGGCCGUAACUGACGCUGAGGAGCGAAAGCAUGGGGAGCGAACAGGAUUAGAUACCCUGGUAGUCCAUGCCGUAAACGUUGGGCGCUAGAUGUAGGGACCUUUCCACGGUUUCUGUGUCGUAGCUAACGCAUUAAGCGCCCCGCCUGGGGAGUACGGCCGCAAGGCUAAAACUCAAAGGAAUUGACGGGGGCCCGCACAAGCGGCGGAGCAUGCGGAUUAAUUCGAUGCAACGCGAAGAACCUUACCAAGGCUUGACAUACACCGGAAACGGCCAGAGAUGGUCGCCCCCUUGUGGUC